This 67-nucleotide transfer RNA is filed under the name Yininemertes pratensis. RNAcentral describes it as "tRNA-Glu". The record is from RNAcentral. Lineage: Eukaryota; Metazoa; Nemertea; Pilidiophora; Heteronemertea; Lineidae.
UUACUUAUGGUGUAAUAUGAUCACGUUAGCUUUUCGUGUUAAAGAUGCAGAGAGACUGCUGGGUAAU